GGCAAGAUGGCCGAGUUGGUUAUGGCGCCAGGUUAAGGUUACCUUAACAACAUUUCCUGGUUCCGAAAGGAGCGUGGGUUCGAGUCCCACUCUUGUCA
Molecule: transfer RNA, 98 nt
Organism: Phaeomoniella chlamydospora
Lineage: Eukaryota; Fungi; Ascomycota; Eurotiomycetes; Phaeomoniellales; Phaeomoniellaceae
Rfam family: tRNA
About the family: Transfer RNA (tRNA) molecules are approximately 80 nucleotides in length. Their secondary structure includes four short double-helical elements and three loops (D, anti-codon, and T loops).
Source: Rfam